This is a long non-coding RNA of Rosa chinensis, 524 nucleotides long. RefSeq lists it as uncharacterized. NCBI's taxonomy places the organism in Eukaryota, Viridiplantae, Streptophyta, Magnoliopsida, Rosales, Rosaceae. The record is from RefSeq and is a predicted model, not a curated record. The transcript has 4 exons.
GGGUGAUAAACGCGAUGUGUUUCCUCUCUCUCUCUCUUCGUUCUUAGCUCGGCUCUACGCAUCUGAAGGGGCUUGAUCAGGUUUCGGUGUCGCUGGGUUUUGAAUAAUCGUGCUAGACCAAUCGGAUAAUUGUGUCUUCAGUUGGUGAUCUGCUACAAGUAUAAUCUAAAGAACCAACGCCUACUUUCGGGAAGCAUCGGUGAAGACCGACCUCCGCUGCUGCGCUGUUGCAACCUCUCUGACGUCGACAUGAAUCCAAACAGCUGCGAGAACAAAAUGGAUGUCUUCAUUCAUGAAAUGGAACCUUACAAAUCGGAAUACAAGAUCAGAGUUCGUAUAUUGAGAGUGUGGAGAGCAAAGCAAUAUAAUACUGACAAGAAUGAUGGUCUCCACUCUGUCUUGAUUGAUGAAAAAGGUGACGCUAUUCAAUUAUUCAUGCAAUUAUCAGUGAAUCUGACUACCCUUUAGUUCACAAAAAAAAAUACAACAAGGCAAGGUUUAUGACAUUCAGAAUUUCUUUACAC